RNAcentral lists this ribosomal RNA (498 nucleotides) under uncultured bacterium. RNAcentral's name for it is "partial 16S ribosomal RNA". It matches the Rfam family "Bacterial small subunit ribosomal RNA", at positions 30 to 523 of the family's 1533-position model. The record is from RNAcentral.
AUUGAACGCUGGCGGCAUGCCUUACACAUGCAAGUCGAACGGUAACAGGUCUUCGGAUGCUGACGAGUGGCGAACGGGUGAGUAAUACAUCGGAACGUGCCCGAUCGUGGGGGAUAACGAAGCGAAAGCUUUGCUAAUACCGCAUAAGAUCUAAGGAUGAAAGCAGGGGACCGCAAGGCCUUGCGCGAACGGAGCGGCCGAUGGCAGAUUAGGUAGUUGGUGGGAUAAAAGCUUACCAAGCCGACGAUCUGUAGCUGGUCUGAGAGGACGACCAGCCACACUGGGACUGAGACACGGCCCAGACUCCUACGGGAGGCAGCAGUGGGGAAUUUUGGACAAUGGGCGAAAGCCUGAUCCGGCCAUGCCGCGUGCAGGAUGAAGGCCUUCGGGUUGUAAACUGCUUUUGUACGGAACGAAAAGACUCUGGUUAAUACCUGGGGUCCAUGACGGUACCGGCAUAAGAAGCACCGGCUAACUACGUGCCGGCCGCCGCCGUAA